GAUGAACGCUGGCGGCGUGCUUAACACAUGCAAGUCGAACGGAAAGGCCCAAGCUUGCUUGGGUACUCGAGUGGCGAACGGGUGAGUAACACGUGGGUGAUCUGCCCUGCACUUCGGGAUAAGCCUGGGAAACUGGGUCUAAUACCGGAUAGGACCACUUCUUGGAUGUUGUGGUGGAAAGUUUUUUCGGUGUGGGAUGAGCUCGCGGCCUAUCCGCUUGUUGGUGGGGUAAUGGCCUACCAAGGCGUCGACGGGUAGCCGGCCUGAGAGGGUGUACGGCCACAUUGGGACUGAGAUACGGCCCAGACUCCUACGGGAGGCAGCAGUGGGGAAUAUUGCACAAUGGGCGCAAGCCUGAUGCAGCGACGCCGCGGGGGGGAUGACGGCCUUCGGGUUGUAAACUCCUUUCGCUAGGGACGAAGCGUUUUGUGACGGUACCUGGAGAAGAAGCACCGGCUAACUACGUG
RNAcentral lists this ribosomal RNA (467 nucleotides) under uncultured bacterium. RNAcentral describes it as "partial 16S ribosomal RNA". It matches the Rfam family "Bacterial small subunit ribosomal RNA", at positions 28 to 507 of the family's 1533-position model. The record is from RNAcentral.